UACGUAGGGUGCAAGCGUUAAUCGGAAUUACUGGGCGUAAAGCGUGCGCAGGCGGUUUUGUAAGACAGAGGUGAAAUCCCCGGGCUCAACCUGGGAACUGCAUCUGUGACUGCAUCGCUGGAGUGCGGCAGAGGGGGAUGGAAUUCCGCGUGUAGCAGUGAAAUGCGUAGAUAUGCGGAGGAACACCGAUGGCGAAGGCAAUCCCCUGGGCCUGCACUGACGCUCAUGCACGAAAGCGUGGGGAGCAAACAGG
RNAcentral lists this ribosomal RNA (253 nucleotides) under uncultured bacterium. RNAcentral describes it as "partial 16S ribosomal RNA". It matches the Rfam family "Bacterial small subunit ribosomal RNA", at positions 524 to 776 of the family's 1533-position model. The record is from RNAcentral. RNAcentral also lists the same sequence under 1 other name.